GACGAACGCUGGCGGCGUGCUUAACACAUGCAAGUCGAACGGAAAGGCCCUGCUUUUGUGGGGUGCUCGAGUGGCGAACGGGUGAGUAACACGUGAGUAACCUGCCCUUGACUUUGGGAUAACUUCAGGAAACUGGGGCUAAUACCGGAUAGGAGCUCCUGCUGCAUGGGGGGGGUUGGAAAGUUUCGGCGGUUGGGGAUGGACUCGCGGCUUAUCAGCUUGUUGGUGGGGUAGUGGCUUACCAAGGCUUUGACGGGUAGCCGGCCUGAGAGGGUGACCGGCCACAUUGGGACUGAGAUACGGCCCAGACUCCUACGGGAGGCAGCAGUGGGGAAUAUUGCACGAUGGGCGGAAGCCUGAUGCAGCAACGCCGCGUGCGGGAUGACGGCCUUCGGGUUGUAAACCGCUUUCGCCUGUGACGAAGCGUGAGUGACGGUAAUGGGUAAAGAAGCACCGGCUAACUACGUG
This 468-nucleotide ribosomal RNA is filed under the name uncultured bacterium. Its description in RNAcentral is "partial 16S ribosomal RNA". It matches the Rfam family "Bacterial small subunit ribosomal RNA", at positions 28 to 507 of the family's 1533-position model. The record is from RNAcentral.